CGCCACCAGCUGGAAGUCGCAGUGCUCUGCCUGCUCCACAUGUCGGUCCUCCAGCAGAGCGUUCUACACGCAACAGACUCUGCUGUCGCUGUAGCUCCUCCUCCAGAAUCAGCGCUCUGCUCCUAAGCUCCUCCUCCUCCAGAAUCAGUGCUCUGCUCCUUAGCUCCUCCUCCUCCAGAAUCAACGCUCUGCUCCUUAGCUCCUCCUCCUCCAGAAUCAACGCACUGCUUCUUAGUUCCUCCUGCUGGACAAGCUGAACAAAUGUUUGCUCUGAUCACUUCCUGUCUGUCAGAAUAAGAGCGUGCAGUGCUGCGUCUGUACCUGGCGGUCAUGGCUGGACGCCGUCCCUCUCCACUUGUCCACAUGCUGCAUUAGGUGUGAUGACUGGACGGCCACGCCCCUUGACACCUGUGCUAGGAGACCCUCGCCCCCUGUUGAUGAGUCUGAUCGGCCAGCAGACGCCGCAGCUGCGGUAGUUUUUGAAGCCUCAGCUCCUCCUCCUGUCUCCUCAGGUCAGAAAGCUCCGCCUCCAAAUGACCACGACGCUCAUGCUCUUUAUGGCAUCUGUUGAUGCAGCAGGAGAUUAUGGGUAUAUGUGUGUGUGUGCGUGCGUGCGUGCGUGUGUGUCUGUGUCUGUGUG
This is a long non-coding RNA of Solea solea (common sole), 640 nucleotides long. RefSeq lists it as uncharacterized. NCBI's taxonomy places the organism in Eukaryota, Metazoa, Chordata, Actinopteri, Pleuronectiformes, Soleidae. The transcript is spliced from 3 exons. The record is from RefSeq and is a predicted model, not a curated record.